Molecule: long non-coding RNA, 515 nt
Organism: Erigeron canadensis
Lineage: Eukaryota; Viridiplantae; Streptophyta; Magnoliopsida; Asterales; Asteraceae
Exons: 3
Source: RefSeq, a predicted model, not a curated record
UUCCUAUAUCUAAUGUUCAAGAUCUAUUUUUCCUCUAUCUCUAUGUGGAAAUCAACUCUCACCUAUCACCUCCUCUAACCUCUAUAUACAAAUCAUAUUCCUCCUUCUUUACCUCCAAUUCUAGAUCUUCACCAAACCAUAAAGUUUUCAUCAUCUAAUUUUACUCUCUACAAAUUGUGAAUCUUGGGUUGUGAAACAAGAUUUGGAAUAGUUGUUGGGAUUUUGGCAAGAUCUAAAAUCUAGGAAUUUGAUCUGGUGCAUUCGAAGUUAACUUGCAUCUCCUUGUCUUUGGUGGAUGGCUACCCAAAACAAGAAGAAUAAGAGAAACUUUUGAAGUUAUCGUGACAACCAUUUUACUUCAAAAAAGAUGGAACAAGUUGUCAAUGUCAUUAUUUCAUUUUAUUUUCAAUUCAUUAAAAUGUAUGAUAUUUUUUGAAAUUUAUUAUGUCAUAUCCUAUUAUCUUAUCUAUAUAUAUACCAUUGUUGGAUCUUCUCUUUAUUGGCCUAUAAGAGCA